AAGUCGUAACAAGGUUUCCGUAGGUGAACCUGCGGAAGGAUCAUUAUUGAAAUAAACCUGAUGGGUUGUUGCUGGUUCUCUAGGGAGCAUGUGCACACCUUGUCAUCUUUAUAUCUCCACCUGUGCACUUUUUGUAGACCUUUCAGGUCUAUGUUGCUUCAUUUACCCCAAUGUAUGUUAAUAGAAUGUUGUGCCUAUAUAAUAUAUACAACUUUCAGCAACGGAUCUCUUGGCUCUCGCAUCGAUGAAGAACGCAGCGAAAUGCGAUAAGUAAUGUGAAUUGCAGAAUUCAGUGAAUCAUCGAAUCUUUGAACGCACCUUGCGCUCCUUGGUAUUCCGAGGAGCAUGCCUGUUUGAGUGUCAUUAAUAUAUCAACCUUCUCUUUUUUGAGUUGUUUGGAUGUGGGGGUUUGCUGGCCUCUUAAAUGAUUCAGCUCCCCUGAAAUGCAUUAGCAGAACAACCUGUUCAUUGGCGUGAUAAUUAUCUAUGCUAUUGAAUGUGAGGGCAGUUCAGCUUUCUAACCGUCCUUGGACAAUUCAUCAUUAAUGUGACCUC
Molecule: ribosomal RNA, 555 nt
Filed under: uncultured Cortinarius
Lineage: Eukaryota; Fungi; Basidiomycota; Agaricomycetes; Agaricales; Cortinariaceae
Description: eukaryotic LSU rRNA
Rfam family: 5.8S ribosomal RNA (bases 210-363)
Source: RNAcentral